UACGUAGGGUGCAAGCGUUAAUCGGAAUUACUGGGCGUAAAGCGUGCGCAGGCGGCUAUGCAAGACAGAUGUGAAAUCCCCGGGCUCAACCUGGGAACUGCAUUUGUGACUGCAUAGCGUAGAGUACGGUAGAGGGGGAUGGAAUUCCGCGUGUAGCAGUGAAAUGCGUAGAUAUGCGGAGGAACACCGAUGGCGAAGGCAAUCCCCUGGACCUGUACUGACGCUCAUGCAC
RNAcentral lists this ribosomal RNA (232 nucleotides) under uncultured bacterium. Its description in RNAcentral is "partial 16S ribosomal RNA". It matches the Rfam family "Bacterial small subunit ribosomal RNA", at positions 524 to 754 of the family's 1533-position model. The record is from RNAcentral.